This 497-nucleotide ribosomal RNA is filed under the name uncultured bacterium. RNAcentral describes it as "partial 16S ribosomal RNA". It matches the Rfam family "Bacterial small subunit ribosomal RNA", at positions 28 to 507 of the family's 1533-position model. The record is from RNAcentral.
GGUGAACGCUGGCGGCGUGCCUAAUACAUGCAAGUCGAGCGAACAGAUGAGGAGCUUGCUCCUCUGACGUUAGCGGCGGACGGGUGAGUAACACGUGGAUAACCUACCUAUAAGACUGGGAUAACUACGGGAAACCGGAGCUAAUACCGGAUAAUAUAUUGAACCGCAUGGUUCAAUAGUGAAAGACGGUUUUGCUGUCACUUAUAGAUGGAUCCGCGCCGCAUUAGCUAGUUGGUAAGGUAACGGCUUACCAAGGCAACGAUGCGUAGCCGACCUGAGAGGGUGAUCGGCCACACUGGAACUGAGACACGGUCCAGACUCCUACGGGAGGCAGCAGUAGGGAAUCUUCCGCAAUGGGCGAAAGCCUGACGGAGCAACGCCGCGUGAGUGAUGAAGGUCUUCGGAUCGUAAAACUCUGUUAUUAGGGAAGAACAAAUGUGUAAGUAACUAUGCACGUCUUGACGGUACCUAAUCAGAAAGCCACGGCUAACUACGUG